UACGGGGGGAGCAAGCGUUGUUCGGAUUUACUGGGCGUAAAGGGCGCGUAGGCGGCCCUGUCAGUCGGGUGUGAAAGCCCGGGGCUCAACCCCGGAACGGCACCCGAGACGGCAGGGCUGGAGACCGGGAGAGGAGGGUGGAAUAGCCAGUGUAGAGGUGAAAUUCGUAGAUAUUGGCUGGAACACCGGUGGCGAAAGCGGCUCUCUGGCCCGGUUCUGACGCUGAGGCGCGAAAGCGUGGGGAGCAAACAGG
This 253-nucleotide ribosomal RNA is filed under the name uncultured bacterium. RNAcentral's name for it is "partial 16S ribosomal RNA". It matches the Rfam family "Bacterial small subunit ribosomal RNA", at positions 524 to 776 of the family's 1533-position model. The record is from RNAcentral.